This 425-nucleotide ribosomal RNA is filed under the name uncultured bacterium. Its description in RNAcentral is "bacterial SSU rRNA". It matches the Rfam family "Bacterial small subunit ribosomal RNA", at positions 354 to 796 of the family's 1533-position model. The record is from RNAcentral.
GUGGGGAAUAUUGGACAAUGGGCGAAAGCCUGAUCCAGCAAUGCCGCGUGAGUGAUGAAGGCCUUAGGGUUGUAAAGCUCUUUUACCAGGGAUGAUAAUGACAGUACCUGGAGAAUAAGCUCCGGCUAACUCCGUGCCAGCAGCCGCGGUAAUACGGAGGGAGCUAGCGUUGUUCGGAAUUACUGGGCGUAAAGCGUGCGUAGGCGGUUAUUCAAGUCAGAGGUGAAAGCCUGGAGCUCAACUCCAGAACUGCCUUUGAAACUAGAUAACUAGAAUCUUGGAGAGGUGAGUGGAAUUCCGAGUGUAGAGGUGAAAUUCGUAGAUAUUCGGAAGAACACCAGUGGCGAAGGCGACUCACUGGACAAGUAUUGACGCUGAGGUACGAAAGCGUGGGGAGCAAACAGGAUUAGAUACCCUAGUAGUCC